Molecule: small nucleolar RNA, 133 nt
Filed under: Amphilophus citrinellus (Midas cichlid)
Lineage: Eukaryota; Metazoa; Chordata; Actinopteri; Cichliformes; Cichlidae
Description: U8 small nucleolar RNA (ENSACIG00000011099.1)
Rfam family: U8 small nucleolar RNA
About the family: U8 is a member of the C/D class of snoRNA which contain the C (UGAUGA) and D (CUGA) box motifs. U8 is the RNA component of a small complex (the U8 snoRNP) which is required for accumulation of mature large subunit ribosomal RNAs, 5.8S and 28S rRNAs. U8 RNA has been identified in human, mouse, rat and Xenopus.
Source: RNAcentral
UCGUCAGUAAGGUAUAUCCUUACCUGUUACUCCUAUUAAGGAGUUGCAGAAAAUGAUGAAUGGAGAUCUAUGAGAUAUGAUUAGUAUCUCUCUCUUUUGGGGAACAGCAACACCCCAUAAGAGCCAUUCUGAU